This 322-nucleotide ribosomal RNA is filed under the name uncultured Imbricatea. RNAcentral's name for it is "SSU rRNA". The stretch from base 108 to 322 matches the Rfam family "Eukaryotic small subunit ribosomal RNA", at positions 740 to 955 of the family's 1831-position model. The record is from RNAcentral. Lineage: Eukaryota; Cercozoa; Imbricatea.
GAUUUCUGACUUGAUGCGCCUGGCCCGCCUCUUUUAGAGGUGCGUGACGGUGCGCGUUGCGUCAUCCUUGUAGAGAGUUUGCAUGCCCUUUACUGGGAGGUGCAGGCUAUCUACAUCUUUUACUUUGAAAAAAUUAGAGUGUUCAAAGCAGGCUUACGCUGUGAAUACAUUAGCAUGGAAUAAUAAUCUAGGACUUCGGUUCCUAUUUUGUUGGUUUCUAGGACUGAAGUAAUGAUUGAUAGGGAUAGUUGGGGGUGCUAGUAUUCAGCGGCCAGAGGUGAAAUUCUUGGAUUCGCUGAAGACUAACUAAUGCGAAAGCAUU